AGCUUGUAGCAUUGAAACUGUAAGUGCCUUCAUACUAGUGACAGAACCAUUUAUGUUUCGAGUCUCCAAAUGAACUUUGUUGAUUAUUAUGGCUAUCUGAUUUACAAUUUGGUCCUUUGAUUUGAACCUGGAGGAAGAGGAGGUUAUGAAACUUGCUUCUCUAGGUAACAAGGCUAACAAAAAAGAGACUAUAGACAUUUUAAAAAAGACUUUGGUCAUUCGCAACAAGAGUUGCAAAUAAUUGACAGCCACAUGCAAUGUUCUAGGAAGAGAAGAAGCCCGUGCUCUUCGCAAACUCGGGAAGGCAAAAGCGAAGAUAAAGAAACUAAAGGUAAAUUUAUCACGACCGAAUAAGUGAAUUGACCAUGGUUAAUUUGAUUCAGGAUAUUCUAACAUGUGGCCAUUAUCAAGCAAGGAUCCAAGAACUGAAGACAGCUGUUGAAGUAAAAGAUAAUGAAGUUCUGAGGGCUUUAAAAGCUUCCAAGAAAACUAUUCUUGAAGGGGAUAUACUGAACGAUGUUGAUUGGAAUUCUAACUCUUGAUCCAUUAGUGAGGAUUUAACUGUUGAGAAAAACUAUUUUUCAAGGUCAGAGGCACCUUCAGAUACAAGAAGUGAAGUGCAUAGACCAUGUAACAAGGAUGGGGUUUUAAGGUUCAAGAAGUGCAUUUUGGACAAAUGAAGAUUGAGAGGUUGUUGAUUCACUUAGUAGUCGUCCCACUGUUCGGCCAAUGUCACAUCAACAACAAUCUCAUGCAUUUUCAUCCCAAGAGGUGAGCAAUCAUUUAAUCAAAGCUUUUUUGACAAUACAAUAUCUUAUUAAUUACAAUACUUGUCCUUAUUAAAUAUAGGUUCACCUUUCAAAGAAAGGGAAGAAGAAGAAGAACAAGAACAAGAACAAGAAGAAGAAGAAGAACUAACAAGGUAAAAGUACUACACAUCACUAGUUUUUAAUUUCUCACUUUUCUAAUUCUAUUAAGACAUGAUGUGAUUUGGUGUUGGAAAUUAGUGAGUAAGCCAAAUCAACCACAUAGUUUUAUAUAUUUUUAAAUAUGGCAUGGAAUUAAAUCUAUUUCAUUUCUUGUACUUGUGAUUUGGCUACAAUUGAAACAGAGCCUGAUUUUGUCAUGGACCUAGUCAGGUCUUUCUUAUCAACAAUUGUGUAGUUUGUUAGAACAUUAUGAGUCUAGUAUGUAGACCUGACGAGUCUUCAUAUGAAUUGUGUAAGUGGGUUAAUUUAUAAUGUCCCAUUACAUCAUGGUUCUGUCCAUCUGACCCUUCCAUAUUGAAUGGAGACCCUUACCUCAUGGUUAAGUUACAAUUCUUUUUUGUUGGCAAUCAAAAAAACAAAAGAAAAAGAAAAAAAGAAUAGGCCUUAUUGAUUCUACAUGUUCAAUUUGAAAGUUGAGGACCUUGUUCAAUGUGUGGUUUGCAGAUAACAUCAUAACUUGUAGCUUUUCUAGUUCCAUUUGAAAGUUGAAGUCUCAUAUAGACUGAAGAAGGGAGCAGUGUUUUGAAAUGAUUUUAAGCACUGCAGAAUUAUUGGCAUCUUUUCAUUUAGCUGAUUUUUAGUUGUCGUGGAAGUAGUGUUUUCAUUUAUGCUAUUUUCCUGUUCUAUGAAUUCAAUUGUUAGAAAGAUAUGCUGGCCACUUAGUUAGGCAGAUUUUUAUAGUAGAUGGAGCUUUGUGAUUUAAAGUUGCCAGAUGUAGAGAAGGAGUGUAUUACUUUACAUCAAACUCCUUUCAAAGUGCAUGGAAAGGAUGUCAUUAGUGGUGUUGGGGAGUUGAUUCCAACUAAUAUUUAAGCGUGAAUAUUGAGGAUGAAAGAGUUAUCCAUAUCUGAAUGUCUCCUCGUGUCAUUAGAUAUUUAUGGGUUUCACUUGUAUUGGCAAUGCUCUUUUUCUCUGAAAAUGUGCAUAGGAUAGAUUAGGGACUUUUGAAUUCUAAAGGAGAAAUGACUUCAAAAUA
Camellia sinensis is the source of this 1965-nucleotide non-coding RNA. The record is from RefSeq and is a predicted model, not a curated record. Lineage: Eukaryota; Viridiplantae; Streptophyta; Magnoliopsida; Ericales; Theaceae.